This 468-nucleotide ribosomal RNA is filed under the name uncultured bacterium. Its description in RNAcentral is "partial 16S ribosomal RNA". It matches the Rfam family "Bacterial small subunit ribosomal RNA", at positions 28 to 507 of the family's 1533-position model. The record is from RNAcentral.
GACGAACGCUGGCGGCGUGCUUAACACAUGCAAGUCGAACGGAAAGGCCCUGCUUUUGUGGGGUGCUCGAGUGGCGAACGGGUGAGUAACACGUGAGUAACCUGCCCUUGACUUUGGGAUAACUUCAGGAAACUGGGGCUAAUACCGGAUAGGAACUCCUGCUGCAUGGUGGGGGGUGGAAAGUUUCGGCGGUUGGGGAUGUACUCGCGGCUUAUCAGCUUGUUGGUGGGGUAGUGGCUUACCAAGGCUUUGACGGGUAGCCGGCCUGGGAGGGGGGCCGGCCACAUUGGGACUGAGAUACGGCCCAGACUCCUACGGUAGGCAGCAGUGGGGAAUAUUGCACAAUGGGCGGAAGCCUGAUGCAGCAACGCCGCGUGCGGGAUGACGGCCUUCGGGUUGUAAACCGAUUUCGCCUGAGACGAAGCGUGAGUGACGGUAAUGGGAAAAGAAGCACCGGCUAACUACGUG